GAUGAACGCUGGCGGCGUGCCUAAUACAUGCAAGUCGAGCGAACAGACGAGGAGCUUGCUCCUCUGACGUUAGCGGCGGACGGGUGAGUAACACGUGGAUAACCUACCUAUAAGACUGGGAUAACUUCGGGAAACCGGAGCUAAUACCGGAUAAUAUAUUGAACCGCAUGGUUCAAUAGUGAAAGACGGUUUUGCUGUCACUUAUAGAUGGAUCCGCGCUGCAUUAGCUAGUUGGUAAGGUAACGGCUUACCAAGGCAACGAUGCGUAGCCGACCUGAGAGGGUGAUCGGCCACACUGGAACUGAGACACGGUCCAGACACCUACGGGAGGCAGCAGUAGGGAAUCUUCCGCAAUGGGCGAAAGCCUGACGGAGCAACGCCGCGUGAGUGAUGAAGGUCUUCGGAUCGUAAAACUCUGUUAUUAGGGAAGAACAAAUGUGUAAGUAACUAUGCACGUCUUGACGGUACCUAAUCAGAAAGCCACGGCUAACUACGUG
This 497-nucleotide ribosomal RNA is filed under the name uncultured bacterium. RNAcentral describes it as "partial 16S ribosomal RNA". It matches the Rfam family "Bacterial small subunit ribosomal RNA", at positions 28 to 507 of the family's 1533-position model. The record is from RNAcentral.